UACAGAGGGUGCAAGCGUUGUUCGGAAUCAUUGGGCGUAAAGGGCGCGUAGGCGGCCUUGUAAGUCGGAUGUGAAAGCCCAGGGCUCAACCUUGGAAGUGCAUCCGAAACUGCAGGGCUCGAAUCUCGGAGAGGGUGGUGGAAUUCCCAGUGUAGAGGUGAAAUUCGUAGAUAUUGGGAGGAACACCGGUGGCGAAGGCGACCACCUGGACGAAGAUUGACGCUGAGGCGCGAAAGCGUGGGGAGCAAACAGG
RNAcentral lists this ribosomal RNA (253 nucleotides) under uncultured bacterium. RNAcentral's name for it is "partial 16S ribosomal RNA". It matches the Rfam family "Bacterial small subunit ribosomal RNA", at positions 524 to 776 of the family's 1533-position model. The record is from RNAcentral.